Molecule: ribosomal RNA, 301 nt
Filed under: uncultured bacterium
Lineage: Bacteria
Description: partial 16S ribosomal RNA
Rfam family: Bacterial small subunit ribosomal RNA
Source: RNAcentral
CAGCCGCCACGGUAAUACGUAGGUGGCAAGCGUUGUCCGGAAUUAUUGGGCGUAAAGGGCUCGCAGGCGGCUUCUUAAGUCUGAUGUGAAAGCCCCCGGCUCAACCGGGGAGGGUCAUUGGAAACUGGGAAACUUGAGUGCAGAAGAGGAGAGUGGAAUUCCACGUGUAGUGGUGAAAUGCGUAGAGAUGUGGAGGAACACCAGUGGCGAAGGCGACUCUCUGGUCUGUAACUGACGCUGAGGAGCGAAAGCGUGGGGAGCGAACAGGAUUAGAUACCCGCGUAGUCCCUGUCUCUUAUAC